CUAGCUAUGAGCUAACCUGAAGCUAACCCUGGCUAACCCAAAGCUAAAGCGGAGGUGGGAGCCGAGCUAACGGAUGUAGCCACCUAGCUUCAACCCAACCGGAGCUAACUGGAACACCCAUCGACCUGAACCUCACACGGAGUUUAGGUGGAGGUUUUCUGCGCCUGUUCGUGAGAAGUACCUGUAUUAAAAAAGAUUUAAAUCGAUCUGUUUAAAUGUCACCAUGGCAGCCUGUGUGUCUCCAACAUCAGCUACACAAAGCAGCAAGUCCAUUUGGAUCAUUGGAGACAGCUAUGUGAGGCGUGGUGCCCAGAGAGCUGCAGAGACAACCUUGGCCUCCCUGACGUCUGUGUCUCCUGGUUCGGUUGGGGCGGACCAUCGACAUACAUACAUGUGCCGACACUUUGCGCCCUGUUUUAUAAACUGUAGUGUUAAAAAUAAAUGUUUUUGCUCAA
Long non-coding RNA from Nothobranchius furzeri (turquoise killifish), 455 nucleotides. RefSeq lists it as uncharacterized. The record is from RefSeq and is a predicted model, not a curated record. NCBI's taxonomy places the organism in Eukaryota, Metazoa, Chordata, Actinopteri, Cyprinodontiformes, Nothobranchiidae.